GUGUGGGUUAAUCAGCCCAUGUUGCUGUACGCAAUUGACAAGGGCUUUGCUAGUACUGCUGGGUCUUCCCUCCUGAUAGGGGAAUCCACAGGAGGCAGGAGCAGAGGCUCCCCCAGACCUUCAGCCCACAUCACUGUUCCCCUGCUCCUUCUUAACUGAGAAGUGCUGUUUGGAGUAACCUUUAAUGCACCAAGACAAACCUCUAUUGAAUGAAGAAGAAGAGAGAGUGCUGAAGGAUAAUUCUGAGCCAUGUUAAAGAGAUUUAUUGGCCAGGUUUUUGGAUACCAUCAAAAUCAUUGCUUUCAUGUUCUGUGGAGACUGGAUCCUGACUUUUCUUUGGAAACCACCUGUGCAAUGUUUUCAGGCUCUGGAGUUUGAGUGAGAUGGGCAUCUGAUUCAGGAAGGCCACCUGACAACCUCAGUUCAGUUUGGUGAUGUGGAAUUUCAGCAUUAGUGAUUCCACAUGGAUUUUAAGCUUCCUCUAUUGAGACCUAUUUUAAAAAGUUACCAAAAUCAAAAUGGAGUUGCUUGGGUCAACUCUAACAAAAAUAAACAAAGCUAAAAAGUUAUAAAAGAAGAGCUCUUACACAUGGUUGCCUGAUGAUAACCAUCAAAAAAGAUUCUUCCAGAACCAUGAGCUUGUAGAGGCCACUGCAAUCUAAUAGUGCUUCUCCAAGGAAAUCUGUCCAGCAUCUAUCUACUCAAACUUAGGAGGUCACCCUCAUUAUUAAUCUCUCAAUCAAAAAUUAUUAUUCCAAUGCAUCUUGUGUAAAUGCCCUCACUUUUACCUUUAAAAACUUCUCCCUGUCUCAACCUCUUUGAAUAUGUCUGUGAUUUACUAUGUUAGGUAUAUUUCCAUUGUAAUACUGCUAUUCUCGUUUGAAUGCUAUUUCCAGAUAAAACUUGGGAUUUUGCUUUUA
Non-coding RNA from Ictidomys tridecemlineatus (thirteen-lined ground squirrel), 920 nucleotides. NCBI's taxonomy places the organism in Eukaryota, Metazoa, Chordata, Mammalia, Rodentia, Sciuridae. The record is from RefSeq and is a predicted model, not a curated record.